Molecule: ribosomal RNA, 433 nt
Filed under: uncultured bacterium
Lineage: Bacteria
Description: partial 16S ribosomal RNA
Rfam family: Bacterial small subunit ribosomal RNA
Source: RNAcentral
AACGAACGCUGGCGGCAUGCCUAACACAUGCAAGUCGAACGAGACCUUCGGGUCUAGUGGCGCACGGGUGCGUAACGCGUGGGAACCUGCCCUUAGGUUCGGAAUAACUCCCCGCAAGGGGUGCUAAUACCGGAUAAUGUCUUCGGACCAAAGAUUUAUCGCCUUUGGAUGGGCCCGCGUUGGAUUAGCUAGUUGGUAGGGUAAAAGCCUACCAAGGCGCCGAUCCAUAGCUGGUCUGAGAGGAUGAUCAGCCACACUGGGACUGAGACACGGCCCAGACUCCUACGGGAGGCAGCAGUGGGGAAUAUUGGACAAUGGGCGAAAGCCUGAUCCAGCAAUGCCGCGUGAGUGAUGAAGGCCUUAGGGUUGUAAAGCUCUUUUACCCGGGAUGAUAAUGACAGUACCGGGAGAAUAAGCUCCGGCUAACUCCGUG